This 862-nucleotide long non-coding RNA is filed under the name Citrus x clementina. Its description in RNAcentral is "Citrus clementina (C. clementina) long non-coding RNA (CCLE_LNC001303)". The record is from RNAcentral. Lineage: Eukaryota; Viridiplantae; Streptophyta; Magnoliopsida; Sapindales; Rutaceae.
AGAUGUUAUUUUUAUAAUUAUAAUUUCAUUUAAAAAUUAUCAUCUUAGAUUUUGAUUUUUAUUUAUUGAAUUUAGGGGUAUUCUUAUAAUUAUAGUUUUUUUAUUUUUCAAAAUUUUGUAAAAUAAAAUAGUCUUUUGAUUUAUUUAGGGGUAAAAUGGUUAUUUUUAAUGUCAAAGUGGUUGAUUGAUACAAGUUUAAAAACAAAAGGUGGUGCAAAGUACAUGUUAAGAUUUUGUGGUGGUUAAAUAUACAUAUGACAGAAAAAAGGUGGUGCAUAGAUAAUUUCUCUUGAUAUAAUUUUUAGGUAAUUGUUCUGGUUCUAGUUCGACUGCUAUUGUUUUUGGGUGAGGGUGGGUAGAUGACUUAGUCCUCUAAUGGGAAGCUUAUGUGGAAGAAGAGUAGAAGGGUGGUACAAAGAUAAUUCCCUUGAUAUAAUUUUUAGGUAAUUGUUCUGGUUCUAGCUCGGCUGAUAUUGUUUUUGAGUGAGGAUGGGUAGAUGACUCAGUCGUCUAAUGGGAAGCUUCCGUGGAAGAAGAGUAGAAGGGGACCUACCCACCCUCAACCACCCAAAAAAGGAGAAAAAAGUAUAUUUGAUAAUUAAGUUAAACAACUAAAUGUUGUCGGAAAUUACAUUAUAUCUUAAUCUCUGGAAGUAUGUAACCCAAGCCAGAAGAUGAGAAGAAUGGCAUGCCCGGCGACCAUCCUCGUGCUUCUGCAAUGACGAGCAGGUUCCCACUCAUACCAGGCCUAGCCCGUUUUAAAUGUCUGAGUACAUAUUAACUAUUUGAGUAAUGCUCUUUACUCCCAUUUAAAAUCUUUAUAAAAUCUUUUUUUUAAUCAAUGAUUGUUUUAAUGGUAGAA